This is a small nucleolar RNA of Arvicola amphibius (Eurasian water vole), 101 nucleotides long. RefSeq annotates it as small nucleolar RNA U13. The record is from RefSeq and is a predicted model, not a curated record. The transcript has a single exon. NCBI's taxonomy places the organism in Eukaryota, Metazoa, Chordata, Mammalia, Rodentia, Cricetidae.
UUUUUUUUUUGGUUCUUAAGCAUGACAAUUGGGUGUUCACACCAUUGUGGGACAUGUACCUCCUGCAGACCUUGUUACAAUAUUGGCAAUUACCUAUGAAA